GGUCCCAUAGCUCAACUGAAUAGAGUAUCUGACUACGGAUCAGAAGGUUGCAGGUUUGAAUCCUGCUGGGAUCA
RNAcentral lists this transfer RNA (74 nucleotides) under Bacteroidales bacterium. RNAcentral's name for it is "tRNA-Arg". It matches the Rfam family "tRNA". Rfam says of the family: Transfer RNA (tRNA) molecules are approximately 80 nucleotides in length. Their secondary structure includes four short double-helical elements and three loops (D, anti-codon, and T loops). Lineage: Bacteria; Pseudomonadati; Bacteroidota; Bacteroidia; Bacteroidales. The record is from RNAcentral.